RNAcentral lists this non-coding RNA (100 nucleotides) under Chromera velia. The record is from RNAcentral. Lineage: Eukaryota; Chromeraceae.
ACAAAAGAGAAUGAAGAAACAGAAAAAGGGAACGAAAAGACGAUAUAGGUAGUCUGUCUCUCUGUUUGUGUGUCCCUUUCUCUCUCUCUCUCUCUCUCUC